CAAGCGCGGCCGCGCCAGUCCCGAAUUCGCGCUCUCGCUUAAACAUUGUGUUCACGUGUCCGGUUGCGGAUUUACAAUUUACACAUUCGUGUCUAAUUUUCGCGUUGAUAUCAGACACGAACUCCACGAAACAUUCAUCCUGAACGUACGAAAGAAUAUGCGCACGCGAAGACGCGUCCGUCUGACGCGUGAUCUCUCGGUACGUGGGUGGCUGGACUAUAUUUAAGCACUAAACGAUGCCGAGAUUUAUGCGCGAAUAUACAGGGUGCUCGGUAAAAAGUGUGCAAACAGUGACAAGCGAUCGAAUCAUGAUGAGAAGGAUAUACAAGUUUCGGAAGACUGUCACAGACUAUCCUUAUAAAACAUGCAUUAUGAGUGGAACGAUCGAUGAUGCUAUGAAUGUUGCAAACGGGACAAAAGUGCUUUUGAUCGAUACGUUCGUGAAUUAUUUCCACGUGCCUUCGAGAGGCCUUCCACGGCGGAAAGUUUCGGAAACGUCGAGCAAGAGUGAACGGCACCGCCGCAGAAUGCAGAGCAGAUGAGUACACUUUUGAUAGAUUAGUAUAUAUAUACGAAUUAGCAAUUCUAAGCACUAUAAUAACGGAAUCUUUUGAAAAUGUAACGCGCGAUACGGGGUUGACUCGUGCGCUUGCUUUCGGAUGUAAAAAGAUGUUUGUUCGAGAAAUCGUUAGUACGGAGAAGGAAUGGCAACAGAGAGGAAAAUGGUUAUGACGAAUAGCUUGUUGCAUGUAACUCUCUGAAUCUGGUAAACUGACGCGUUCUGUUUUUAUUUGAUAUUAAUCUUUGAAUUGUUUUUCGAUGUUGAAUGUCAACUCGCUCGUUGAAGCUAUUGAAAUAUUUUGAGAAAACAGCGGAACCGCUGCACAAACAGUUUGAAAAUUUAUUUCUAAAUAGGUAUAAAGUAAUGAAAUUAGUGAGAGAGAGAUUUAUGAAAUUACGACGCAAAUUAUUCAUCAUGAUUCGUUGAUAUCCCUUUUUGUUGAUACUCCUCUCGUGCGGUUGCAUUAAGUAGUGUUGUAUAAUGAUGAUCUUAUUGCAUAUAUAAUACAAAGUGCAUGUGUGUAUUACGAAUAACGGCAUUACGCGUUAUAUUUUUGAAAGAUAUCUAGGUAUAUAAUGAAGAUAUUUACCUUGGAUGUUAUUAAAAUGGUUUCUCAAUAUUUAUAAUUUGGCACAGCUGCGUAGCUGUAUAAUUAACAAAUUAUCUCUUUGACGAUCGACGGUUAACGCGGACAUUUCGUUAAUUUGUGAGUGGUGUUUUGAUGAAUAGUCUACGCUGUACAUUUCCCUUUUCGCUAUUAUAAAUAAAAUUAUGCAGAAAGUGGUAAAUGCGUGGAUGUAAGUUAAUAAUAUUAGUAAGUCUCAAAUUUGUGCAAUUAUUAUUUGAUCUUUUGUUCUUCAUACGCAAAUUAUAAAAUUCUGUAAAAAGGCAUAAUGGCAUAAAGGCAUAAGGUUAUUAUGAACUAUAUAUGUAUAUUUUAUCAUUAAAAUGGUUAAUAUAUAUAAAAAUAUAUAUUAAGUACAAAAUAGCAUACAGGAAUUGAACGUAAAGAUAUUAUAGGAUAAAGUAAAUUGUUUUUGUAUAUUUAAAAAUGAACUAUAUUAAAGAGGCUUGCUCUGAAUCAAAUUCAAAGAAUAAUAUAAAAUAAUCGCACAAUUAAUAUAUACAAGCAGUUAUAAUUUAAGUUAUAAUUUUUUGUAUAUAUUGUGCGCGUUUGCAUAUGUGUGAUAGAAAUUUUAUCAGAUGAAACGAAUAUCGCGCCUUAUUCUGAAAAAAAUUUACUAAAGAGAUCGUUCGCCUCGAUAUUUUUCGCUUUAAUUUCCAGUAUUCUCACCUCUCAUGAAAUCUCAGUAGGUAAUUAUAAUUUUAGCGUGCUGAUUAUUAUCAUUUUUUUAUUCCGCUUCGUUAGUCGCUAAUUGAGCGUUGCCCCGGCAUGCAAAAUAGCAUCACAAUACAUUCCACGAUCUCGCCGCGCGGUACGAAUAUGCAUCUCAUGCCACGCCUGUUUUAUGACGCGCGGACGCUGCAACAAAAGAGAGUGUAAAUGAGAACUUACAAGUGACGGUGGGCUGAUUUAUUGCCGAAUUGACUAUUCAUUUUCUUCACCUCCGGUGUGAGAAGUCACGCGGUCAUUAGCCCGCGCCCGGUGCAGAAACCCCGUCGUUUGAAUUAAGAGAAUGAGAGAGAAAAAAAAAGAACAGAAAGGUUGCUCCCGUCGGUCGUCAAAGAGUCAGCGGCGGAUUCGUAAUCUAGAGAGAUCUGUGAAGUCCGAUCCAGCUGGACUCCUCUCUUAUUCAAGCCGUAUUAGAAUUGUACUUGGAACGGAGCUUGAAAAAAUCCCGGGACAAAAUUAACUAACCAGACCUAAAUGUUGGUGAUUCUUCUUAUGAGAUGAGAUGUCUUAUCUUGUAUGCAUGAAAAAGAAAGUUGCUCCUUAAAACAGUAAAAAACUUUACGAUCUCUUCUUCGCGAUUUACUCAUAUUGUUCGAGGACUAAUGAAUGUUACAGAACUUAUUAUCGAAAUGUAGACGUAGCCAGGAAAAAAAGAAGUACAAGAUGUAUUUGCAUUUAGCUAACUUCAUAAUUUUACGAUUUAUUACUAAUAUGUAGAUAAAGAAUAAAAUAAAAUGUCGCAUAUUUAUAUGUAUAUUUCGGAUAUUUCUGUGACAUCCUGUUUUAUUUAGUUUAUUAUGUAACGUCUAGGUUAAUCUUUGAUUAACUUAAACUUAAUAUUUCAUUAUCAAAAUUUUGAUUUUGUUAAUGUUAUUUAAUUUAAAAUUAAAUAU
Temnothorax curvispinosus is the source of this 2809-nucleotide long non-coding RNA. RefSeq lists it as uncharacterized. NCBI's taxonomy places the organism in Eukaryota, Metazoa, Arthropoda, Insecta, Hymenoptera, Formicidae. The transcript has 3 exons. The record is from RefSeq and is a predicted model, not a curated record.